AUUGCAAUAGCUGCAAAAAAUAAAUAAUAAGUUGCGUAAUCAAUGAGUGGUAAUGGUAAACCAACGAAUGAACCAGUGGAUCCACAAAACAAAACCACGAGCUGAUGAGCACAUCAUGAUGAGUCACUCUGUCUUUACACAAAAAUAAUAAAACCUUCAAUCAUUUAUCCGAUAGAUGCGAAUAAUAUUAAUACUGUAAUAAAAAAUGCCAAAAUAAAACCUAACCAAAGUUCGAAUCAGAGAUUUCCAGAUAAUUACUUCCGACAAUUCUAGUUCUUCCCUCUCUCUCUGUCUCUCUGUCC
RNAcentral lists this long non-coding RNA (302 nucleotides) under Brassica rapa (field mustard). RNAcentral describes it as "long non-coding RNA (BRAP_LNC005526)". Lineage: Eukaryota; Viridiplantae; Streptophyta; Magnoliopsida; Brassicales; Brassicaceae. The record is from RNAcentral.